This 497-nucleotide ribosomal RNA is filed under the name uncultured bacterium. RNAcentral describes it as "partial 16S ribosomal RNA". It matches the Rfam family "Bacterial small subunit ribosomal RNA", at positions 28 to 507 of the family's 1533-position model. The record is from RNAcentral.
GAUGAACGCUGGCGGCGUGCCUAAUACAUGCAAGUCGAGCGAACAGACGAGGAGCUUGCUCCUCUGACGUUAGCGGCGGACGGGUGAGUAACACGUGGAUAACCUACCUAUAAGACUGGGAUAACUUCGGGAAACCGGAGCUAAUACCGGAUAAUAUAUUGAACCGCAUGGUUCAAUAGUGAAAGACGGUUUUGCUGUCACUUAUAGAUGGAUCCGCGCCGCAUUAGCUAGUUGGUAAGGUAACGGCUUACCAAGGCAACGAUGCGUAGCCGACCUGAGAGGGUGAUAGGCCACCUUGGAACUGGGACACGGUCCAGACUACUACGGGAGGCAGCAGUAGGGAAUCUUCCGCAAUGGGCGAAAGCCUGACGGAGCAACGCCGCGUGAGUGAUGAAGGUCUUCGGAUCGUAAAACUCUGUUAUUAGGGAAGAACAAAUGUGUAAGUAACUAUGCACGGCUUGACGGUACCUAAUCAGAAAGCCACGGCUAACUACGUG